GUGAAUCAUCAAAUUUUUGAACGCAAAUUGCACUCUCUUCGGAGAGUAAGCGUGUGUGUGUGUGAGCCUAUAAAAAAUCAACAUCGUUGCCGUUUCGCGGUGGCGUUCGUCGGAAAUUGGGUCUUCUUAAAUCUUUUGUUUUUACGCGGCUUAAAUUUUUUCUUUUGGUUCCAUGAACGUUUCUGAUAUUUAUUUCCCUACCCGUUUAAGGUAUCGAUUGUUACUAGACUUGACCAUCAUAUCGGAUCCC
RNAcentral lists this unclassified non-coding RNA (250 nucleotides) under Glomus sp. RNAcentral's name for it is "partial internal transcribed spacer 2". Lineage: Eukaryota; Fungi; Glomeromycota; Glomeromycetes; Glomerales; Glomeraceae. The record is from RNAcentral.